UUCUUCUCCUUCUUCUUAUCCUCCUCCUUCUCCUUCUCCUUCUUCUCUUCUUCUUCUUCUUCCUUCCUUUUAUUUUUCCUCUUUCUUCUCCUCUUGUCCCCUUCUUCGGGCUGAAUUGGCUAAGAAUGCCUUUUUGGAGCUAAUUAUGUCAUUUCGAGGAUAAUUAGCUAAGUAUAAGUCAUGUUUUAUUAAAUAGACCAUUUAGG
Molecule: long non-coding RNA, 206 nt
Filed under: Hordeum vulgare
Lineage: Eukaryota; Viridiplantae; Streptophyta; Magnoliopsida; Poales; Poaceae
Description: long non-coding RNA (HVUL_LNC012062)
Source: RNAcentral